Molecule: ribosomal RNA, 313 nt
Filed under: uncultured bacterium
Lineage: Bacteria
Description: bacterial SSU rRNA
Rfam family: Bacterial small subunit ribosomal RNA
Source: RNAcentral
ACUCCUACGGGAGGCAGCAGUGGGGAAUAUUGCACAAUGGGCGCAAGCCUGAUGCAGCCAUGCCGCGUGUGUGAAGAAGGCCUUCGGGUUGUAAAGCACUUUCAGUUGUGAGGAAAGGUUGAGUCGCUAAUAUCGGUACUAGCUGUGACGUUUAGCAACAGAAGAGCACCGGCUAACUCCGUGCCAGCAGCCGCGGUAAUACGGAGGGUGCGAGCGUUAAUCGGAAUUACUGGGCGUAAAGCGCAUGCAGGUGGUUUGUUAAGUCAGAUGUGAAAGCCCGGGGCUCAACCUCGGAAUUGCAUUUGAAACUGGC